CUACGGGUCGCAGCAGUAGGGAAUUUUCGGCAAUGGGCGAAAGCCUGACCGAGCAAUGCCGCGUGAACGAUGAAGGCCUUCGGGUUGUAAAGUUCUGUUAUCAGGGAAGAACAUACGGAUUAGGAAAUGACUCCGUACUGACGGUACCUGAUCAGAAAGCUCCGGCUAACUACGUGCCAGCAGCCGCGGUAAUACGUAGGGAGCAAGCGUUAUCCGGAAUUAUUGGGCGUAAAGCGUGCGUAGGCGGUUCGUUAAGUCAAAUCUGAAAGCCCACAGCUUAACUGUGGAGGGCGAUUUGAAACUGGCGAACUUGAGUACGGCAGAGGUUAGUGGAAUUCAAUGUGUAGCGGUGGAAUGCGUAGAUAUAUUGAGGAACACCAGUGGCGAAGGCGGCUAACUGGACCGGAACUGACGCUGAGGCACGAAAGCGUGGGGAGCAAACAGGAUUAGAUACCCGUGUAGUC
RNAcentral lists this ribosomal RNA (464 nucleotides) under uncultured bacterium. RNAcentral describes it as "partial 16S ribosomal RNA". It matches the Rfam family "Bacterial small subunit ribosomal RNA", at positions 339 to 795 of the family's 1533-position model. The record is from RNAcentral.